GGUUAAAAAGUUUUAUGCUUACAUUAUCAAAAACAAACAGUACGGGAAAACCUUCAUUGCUGAGAAGAUCCAGAUGCAGCAGCAGAUGGGACGGGCACUGGUGGUGGUGGUGGUGGUGGCGGGGCAGAACCUGAUGAAGUAGAUGCUGGUGGUGGUUGCACGCUUGUUGAAGCUGGUCCACUCACAGGUGGUGGAGGUCUUGAUGGUCCAGAGUGUUGAUAAUGUUGAGGUGGGCCUCGAGGUGGAGGCAUUGCUGAAUGGUAUGGUGGAUACUGUUGAUAAGGUGGCAUUGGUUGCAUGUACCCGUAUGGCGGAUAAUGUUGAUGAGGAUAUUGUCCAG
This 340-nucleotide long non-coding RNA is filed under the name Gossypium barbadense (sea-island cotton). RNAcentral describes it as "long non-coding RNA (GBAR_LNC001796)". Lineage: Eukaryota; Viridiplantae; Streptophyta; Magnoliopsida; Malvales; Malvaceae. The record is from RNAcentral.